UGCGUAGGCGGUUUGGUAAGUCAGAUGUGAAAUUCCUGGGCUCAACCGAGGAACUGCAUUUGAUACUGCCAGACUAGAGUACUGGAGAGGAGACUGGAAUUUACGGUGUAGCAGUGAAAUGCGUAGAUAUCGUAAGGAAGGCCAGUGGCGAAGGCGAGUCUCUGGACAGUAACUGACGCUGAGGCACGAAGGCCAGGGGGAGCAAACG
RNAcentral lists this ribosomal RNA (208 nucleotides) under uncultured bacterium. RNAcentral's name for it is "partial 16S ribosomal RNA". It matches the Rfam family "Bacterial small subunit ribosomal RNA", at positions 568 to 774 of the family's 1533-position model. The record is from RNAcentral.